RNAcentral lists this ribosomal RNA (466 nucleotides) under uncultured bacterium. RNAcentral's name for it is "bacterial SSU rRNA". It matches the Rfam family "Bacterial small subunit ribosomal RNA", at positions 28 to 464 of the family's 1533-position model. The record is from RNAcentral.
GACGAACGCUGGCGGCGUGCCUAAUACAUGCAAGUCGAGCGAGCUGAAUUCAAAGAUCCCUUCGGGGUGAUUUGUUGGACGCUAGCGGCGGAUGGGUGAGUAACACGUGGGCAAUCUGCCCUAAAGACUGGGAUACCACUUGGAAACAGGUGCUAAUACCGGAUAACAACAUGAAUCGCAUGAUUCAAGUUUUGAAAGGCGGCGCAAGCUGUCACUUUUAGGAUGAGCCCGCGGCGCAUUAGCUAGUUGGUGGGGUAAAGGCCUACCAAGGCAAUGAUGCGUAGCCGAGUUGAGAGACUGAUCGGCCACAUUGGGACUGAGACACGGCCCAAAACUCCUAACAGGAGGCAGCAGUAGGGAAAUCUUCCACAAUGGACGCAAGUCUGAUGGAGCAAACGCCGCGUGAGUGAAGAAGGUUUUCGGAUCGUAAAGCUCUGCUGUUGGUGAAGAAGGAUAAGAAGGCAGU